This is an RNA transcript of Myotis brandtii (Brandt's bat), 4248 nucleotides long. It is a transcript of the gene named methenyltetrahydrofolate synthetase domain containing, with no coding region annotated. The record is from RefSeq and is a predicted model, not a curated record. Lineage: Eukaryota; Metazoa; Chordata; Mammalia; Chiroptera; Vespertilionidae. The transcript has 9 exons.
CCCAGGGCGGGUGUUUCCAAACAGGACAUUCGGGAGCAGAUCUGGGACUACAUGGAAUCACAUAAUAUAGCUGACUUUCCCCGGCCUGUCCAUCAUAGGAUUCCCAACUUCAAGGGCGCUUCUCGGGCCGCUGAGCACUUCCCACGCUUGCAGGCGUUCAAAAUGGCCAGGACCAUUAAAGUCAACCCUGAUGCUCCCCAGAAAAACGCUCGCUUCUUCGUCCUCGACAGCAAAAAAACAUUGUUGGUUCCAACACCGAGACUGAGAACAGGGUUAUUUAAUAGGAUCACACCACCCCCUGGGGCAACUAAAGACAUCCUGAGAAAAUGUGCCACCUCCCAGGGCGUGAGGGACUACAGUGUUCCUGUGGGCUUGGACGCCAGGGUCCUCGUGGACUUAGUGGUGGUGGGCUCCGUGGCCGUUUCCGAAAAAGGCUGGAGAAUUGGGAAGGGAGAAGGUUAUGCUGACCUUGAAUAUGCCAUGAUGGCGUCGAUGGGAGCAGUCAGCCAGGGGACGCCAGUGGUCACCAUCGUCCACGACUGCCAGGUCGUUGACAUACCUGAAGCGCUCCUUGAGGAUCACGACCUCACCGUGGACUAUAUUCUCACUCCAACCAGAGUCAUCGCCACGGGGUGUGAGCGCCCAAAGCCAACAGGAAUCACGUGGUCUAAGAUCAGCUGUGCGAUGAUGGGAAGAAUCCCAAUACUCAGAAGCCUUCGCUCCCGAGAGAAGCAGGCCGGGAGAGACGUCACGCUUAAGGAUGAGCACCCACACCUAGAAGCCCACAGCCAGCACGCAGCUCCGCCAGGCGCUGUAAGGAGACCCGGGGACCCAGCCCAGCCGGAGGCAGGCUUCCCGCAGGGAGAGGAUGUGCCUUCCGACACUGUUUACGUGGGGAACCUCCCCCGGGACACGCGAGUGAGUGAGCUGAAGAGAGCCCUCCGAGAGCGGGGCGCAGCCCCACUGCGGCUCACCUGGCAGGGCCCACAGCACAGGGCCUUCCUCCAUUUCCAGGACCCAGCCUCGGCCCAGCAGGCCCUCUCCUGCUUACAGGGCUUACACCUGGGUGCCAACACCCUGAAGGUGGCGCUGGCCCGGCAGCAGAGGGCCAGUGACCCGGCAGGUGGCCAUGCUAGAGAGCCGCACCCAGACCAUUGACCGUCGGUGACAACCUGACCUCCAGAGGCCCGCAUGGUAGGAUGCGGCCCAACUAUUUCUACACGAGCUGCUUUGACCAGGUUCGUUCUUUCUAGGAAGUCACAGCCGCAGGCCCUGCCUCCUGUUGAUCUGACGAGGAGGGAAGUUGACCAGUACACUUCCUACACUCAGGAGGCUGAGCGCCCCAUGGAUUCAGUUCUGUUUAUCAUGGUCCUCAGCCCACUGGAUGGUAUAACCGUGCUGGUUCUCUGGAGAGACCGCAGUUGGGGGGUUUAGGGGACCAAUGAGCAAUAAGCGAGUGGGAGUAAGUGGUGACAGUGGAUUAGAAGAGUCUGAGGCCCCGGCAGGGACCAGACGCAGGAGCACCGUGGGGCAAACCAGGACGCGCUCGUGCCCCAGGACCCUGCCCGGCACUGCUGGAGGGAAAGAUGCAUUCAAAUCGCAGAAGCCAGGUACCUCCGCCUCCUGGGUACAAGCCGCUUUUCUCAACUCAGUCCUGGUGUCGGAAAUGGAGAGCUGGUGCGACAUGGACCCUUGGUGGAGCGGUCUCCCCUCUGUCCUCGCCUUACCUUUCCAGCCCUUCUCCUUUCCCUGGGCUUCGCUCUGCCCUCGGCCAGCGGCCCUGCACAGAGCAGGAAGCGCUGACUCGUAGGAGACAGUGGUUUUAGAAACUGAGUCAUGCAGGUCUGUAUCACAGGCAGAGUCCGCAAGUGCUCUCGCACUCCCAUUUACCUAAUGCCUAUGUUCUCCGAGUUCCUCUAGUUCCUUGUUCCUAAAAAACAAGCUGGAUUUUGGCUGAACUAUGCUUUCUAAACAGAAGCACUUUUGCAAUUGAUCCUGGGCACAACGUCAAAAUAAGCAUUUAAGUGUAGGUUUUAUUUUUUCAAAUGUACACUCAUUGGAAAUUUUAUUUUUUCACCAGGGGGCCUUACUGUGUAUUUUAAGUACAUUAUUAUGCCUCAAGAGGCCAGGCCUUGCACGAACUUUCAAGAAAAUAUUCUUAAGGUACUCAGUCUCCCUUGGAAAAAACAUUUCCUUUUUGGUUUUACAAUGAAAAUACUGUGGAGACUUCGGAAAGAAAAUCUAUCCAAAUAGACAGAUAUUUCUCUAAGAAAAUCUAUCCAAAUAGGUAUUUCUCUAAGAAAAUCUAUCCAAAUAGGUAUUUUUCUAGCAAAAUGGGACUAUGCAGGAACAACAAAGAAUUGUAAUUCAGGACAUAGGAUCUAGAGGCAAACCGUGUGAAAGUCUUGAGAAAUAAAGGAGAGGAAUGCUCUUUUAUGGACUUGGGAGGAGCUGUUGUAAAGGAAGAGCCCAUUGGAGGAAACUGAAAGAUGGAAGUGUAGUGACUUUUCAUUGGCUGAGCUGUUACUGGGCCAGAAGGAAUCCUUCUUCCUCCUGCUGAGGCAGCAAGUAGAACCAUGCCAUGGGAGAUGUGGGGUGGGUCCCUCCUGUUGGGGUCAGUAGUGUGCAUAGAGUGGCACAUUUGAAAGAACUCUCUUCCAGCUCUGGACUCCACUUUCAACGAGGUUUCACCAUCCUCAGAUUUGUUCAUUAAAUGCAGGCUCCUUUUCCAAGCUGUCAUGAAUAAAAUGAGAGUAGACAAAUAUCUUAAAAUGGACCAGGACCUUCCCUGCCUUGGGACCUCUGGGCUUCCUCUCUCUUGGCCUGAACUGUCCACCCUCGUCUGCAGGGCUGGUUUUGUUUUGUCACUAGGCGUUCAGCAGGGAUGUCAGAGGUUGACUCUGGCCACCCAACCCAGAGUAGCGAGCUGAUCAUCCUAACUCCUCACUGUUUCCUUUUGUUUAGUUUUUCUUUUUUCCCAGAAUACCUCUUGUAUUUGUCAUGUUCUUGUUUGGAUUUGUUGACGUUUUCACUGUUGACUAGCACUCCAGAACAGGAAAUGUGUCACUGCCCAUCUUUUUCACUCCUGCUGUACCCUGGCUGUGAACAAGUCCUGGCAAAUACAUAGCAGUUCGGGAAACUAACAUGUGGAUGGAUUCACCCAAGACAGAGAGGGAAAGGAGAGCAUGAUGAUACCGCCCGAAGCCCUGUGUCCAGUUGUGCAUACGCCAGCCUGCCGUGGACGGUGUUACACUCAUCAAUAGUGGUCCCUCUUGGGAUUCCUGCUUGGAGAGAGGAGGAUGCCAGCACUGCUCCCUGGGCCCUUGUCUACAGAUCUGAACAGACAAUAAGGAACCUCCAGUCAUUGAGGAAAACCAGCAUCUUGAAACAGUAUCUCUCCAUUGUGGAAAUGGCAAUACAGGAAUCAGAAGGUAAUUAGAAGGCCAUCAUAGCCAUUACAAAGAGAAUAAACUGGUAAGGAAAAAAAGCAAUUCUUAGGAGUUAAAAACACCAUAAAAUAAAAAGUAGUCACACUGCAGGCAGAAUAGACGCAAAUACACUUAGUUGAGAGAUGAGCCACAUGAUUCUUCCUGGAACUAGCACAAAGACGAUAGAGGUGAAAAGAAUGAAAUGUUGGAGAAAGUAGACAAAACUUACUUCAGCUAAAGAGGAUUUUAUUUCAUGUCGAACAGUCCUCAAAAUCCAAAACGGGAAGCAUAUAGAUCAGCAACCUUCCCAUAUAGUAUUAGUAACUUACCGAAAAUUUUGUUUUUUAUGCAGUAGCAACCAAAACUAAUAACUUGGGGGUACACCUAAAGAACAGUCCAGGGGUCACAUGGCUAAAAUUAUAAAGUUUUUCUGAAAAAGAUGAAAGACCUGAAUAAAGAGGCAUGCUGUGCUCUAGAUGAAAAGUUUCAGUAUUAUAAAGUUAUUAUUUCUCCAUGUAUUAAGAUAUUCUAUACGUGACCUUGCAAAAUCCCAACGGAUGUUUUCAUGGGGCUUGAUAAAGCGGAUGUCAAAACCUACUCUAAAGCGUCAGUGCUUAAAGCAGCAUGGUACUGGCGAAUCGGAGCACCAGUGGAACAGUUUCUGAGCGGGUGGGAUUCUAGAGUAUAAGAGUAAUCUCAAAGGGGGGAGGGCUUGCUUCUUAAGAAAUGGAAUGAGAGCUACUAGCUGGUGUUUUGAAGGGUGAAUAGAGCAAUGGAUUUCAUACCACACAUCAGAAUAAAAUCCAGCUAAUUUAAUAGA